UAUUAAAUUGAUACAUUUUUACAGCCGUUUAAUUUAGCGGCCAUACGAAAGGGUAGUGAAUUGGAACAAUGCACAAGGGUUAAACAAGUCCCAAACCCAAAUUGUUUUGAGAAAAAUAAUUUAAAUCAUCCAGAGAUGUGCUGCUGAUGAAGUUCACUAUAGACCCAGGACCCUAUAGAGUUUUCAUCACUUUGAAAUGAUUUAAACACACGUUGCAUUUCUCGAGCCGCUCCGAUGUCUUCACUUCAUUAAUGAGAUGAAUAAUAAACACAGUAGGUGUGAGUCUGUUGACUGGAUCUGCUCUUUUCAAACACACUGAUGUGAUACAAAGGAACAGCGCCCUUUACGUUGACAUUUAAUGCUGAUUAUCUGCUUUAUUUGAACACUCAUACGGGCUGUCAGGAUUCAUCGUGUCAUCCUUUCAAACACGCUGACCGCUAACUAUGAGCUAUUACAGUCAAUUUAAACCUUAAUAAGCCGAUGAACACGUUAUUGAAUAAAAUGCAGCCACGGCGUUUUUUUUCUGCAUGUAACGCGAGGUGGAAUCAAACCGUGUAGUAAUUGAAAAGAGCAGCCAGAUGUAUGUGUGGAGCGGCUCAUUCAUUUCACUUGGACACUCUGUGAUUUGAGAAAACAAUUUGAAGUCUUUGGUUAACCACCGUAAGCACACAGUACAUGUAUAAUUUACUUAAGGGGGAAACAUGGUUUCCCUCUGAAAAAUGAAUUUGAGCAGAGAGGAGUGCAACAGAGCUGCGUCACAGUUCUCCUUUAUGAGAAGCGGAUAAAUGUGUUUAGAGUUACAAAUGUGUGAAAAAAUUGUCUAUCAAACUUUAUGUUUACCAGCGUUGUGUUUUACAAAAUUCAAAACUAUGAACAAUGUGUGAAGUUGUGACAAGGAGUUGCUUUCACAGUAUAAUGAUGAUGAUGUCAUGUAAUGAGUUAUGUUUAAUUCAUGUAAACCUGACCUGUCUGCUGGUGUUACCCUUCAGGUGUCUCUGUCCAGACUGAAACCUCAGACGUAUAGAAUGAGCGCUGGAUUGUUUGUGAGGCAGCGCAGUGGAGGGUCCUUGUUUCAGAGCGGUACCGAGCCAGCGAGAGUUUCCUGUAGGCUCAGGAAGUCGGGCUCUCUGAAACGAGAUGUGUGUGUGCUUUUUUGUUUCGGAGACCGCAAAGGUCCCGCUGAGACCGGUGAAGACGUAAAAGAAGAAACUUUAGGUGAGGAAGCGUUUAUAAGAUGACUGCGUUUCUGAGUUAAAAGCUGUUUGUUUUUAGGCCCUGAGAGCGGGCUGAGCUGUACCUGAGGGAUUGGCACUGUGCUGAGAAAGGUGAAAUCUAAGAGGAACCUGAAGUUGGUGCCAGAUUAUUAACUGUAGGUAAUUGAACUACCCAAACGGCCACAUCUGGGAUUCAUCUGAACUGAUCCGAGUUUCUGGACAGAUGCUUUGUUCAUGUUGAUCAGCUCCAAAUCAAUGACAGGCGGCGGCCACAGAUGAACCGAACUCUCAGUGUUGAGAGGAAAAUGAAAGAAGAGAAGCGCACCCAGCCUGAGGCAUCGGCCAGCAGCCAGUGUAGGGUCACGAACACCCACAUACCACCCUUCAGCCACAAUCUACUACUGUCUCAUUAACCAACGGAUCAUUUCAUAAAUGAAAACAUAGAUUUACAUAUUUACUUUUUCUUAAGUUAGAAAAGGCUGACUUGCUAUGCUGAGUGCCAUUGGAAGUGGAGUCACCGUGCCAGCAAUCGUAUAACAGUGACAUCAUCAUCACGUAAAAGAAACAUUACUCCACCCAGCUCAUACACCGUACUAAUGAAGCUCAUCUUCUCCUCUCCUGAAUCACUGACUCCAUCAAAGAGGAGAAAAAAACACAGCUCAAAGUGAGCAUUCAUCUCAGACUCUCCUCCGGUGCAUGACGUCUUUUUUCCAAAAGUUUUCCUUUACAGUCAAGGCUACACAUCAUUACUGCUAGCAAGGCCUUUCUUUCUCCCCCUUUCUCUAAAUUAAAAAAAAAUUAAACAGAAGGAAAGGAAAUGCACAGAUUUGUGGAAGAAUAAUGAACUAUGUCAUCUGACCUAACAGAGAAACCUGAGAGAGAGAAUUUAGAGCUGUCUGACUGGAAACUGUCAUUGGUACUUUAUCGAUUAUGUUACAGAUACAAUGUUUUAUUUCUAUGAAGGUGCUGUUUGUUUAAUUUAUUGUAAAUCCAAAUUGCACAUGUGAAUAAUUAUAUGUUUUGUUUAUUAAACCAUU
This is a non-coding RNA of Misgurnus anguillicaudatus (oriental weatherfish), 2251 nucleotides long. NCBI's taxonomy places the organism in Eukaryota, Metazoa, Chordata, Actinopteri, Cypriniformes, Cobitidae. The record is from RefSeq and is a predicted model, not a curated record.